UGGGGAAUAUUGCACAAUGGGCGCAAGCCUGAUGCAGCCAUGCCGCGUGUAUGAAGAAGGCCUUCGGGUUGUAAAGUACUUUCAGCGGGGAGGAAGGGAGUAAAGUUAAUACCUUUGCUCAUUGACGUUACCCGCAGAAGAAGUACCGGCUAACUCCGUGCCAGCAGCCGCGGUAAUACGGAGGGUGCAAGCGUUAAUCGGAAUUACUGGGCGUAAAGCGCACGCAGGCGGUUUGUUAAGUCAGAUGUGAAAUCCCCGGGCUCAACCUGGGAACUGCAGCUGAUACUGGCAAGCUUGAGUCUCGUAGAGGGGGGUAGAAUUCCAGGUGUAGCGGUGAAAUGCGUAGAGAUCUGGAGGAAUACCGGUGGCGAAGGCGGCCCCCUGGACGAAGACUGACGCUCAGGUGCGAAAGCGUGGGGAGCAAACAGG
Molecule: ribosomal RNA, 429 nt
Filed under: Chloroflexota bacterium
Lineage: Bacteria; Bacillati; Chloroflexota
Description: Chloroflexi bacterium partial 16S ribosomal RNA
Rfam family: Bacterial small subunit ribosomal RNA
Source: RNAcentral